This 384-nucleotide ribosomal RNA is filed under the name uncultured prokaryote. RNAcentral describes it as "bacterial SSU rRNA". It matches the Rfam family "Archaeal small subunit ribosomal RNA", at positions 341 to 725 of the family's 1478-position model. The record is from RNAcentral.
GCGAAAACUUUACAAUGCUGGCAACAGCGAUAAGGGAACCUCGAGUGCCAGGUUACAAAUCUGGCUGUCGAGAUGCCUAAAAAGCAUUUCAUAGCAAGGGCCGGGCAAGACCGGUGCCAGCCGCCGCGGUAACACCGGCGGCUUGAGUGGUAACCGUUAUUAUUGGGUCUAAAGGGUCUGUAGCCGGCCGGAUAAGUCUCUUGAGAAAUCUGGCAGCUUAACUGUCAGGCUUUCAGGAGAUACUGUCUGGCUCGAGGCCGGGAGAGGUGAGAGGUACUUCAGGGGUAGGGGUGAAAUCUUGUAAUCCUUGAAGGACCACCAGUGGCGAAGGCGUCUCACCAGAACGGACUUGACGGCAAGGGACGAAAGCUAGGGGCACGAACC